Molecule: ribosomal RNA, 562 nt
Filed under: Leotiomycetes sp. ZZ-23
Lineage: Eukaryota; Fungi; Ascomycota; Leotiomycetes
Description: eukaryotic LSU rRNA
Rfam family: 5.8S ribosomal RNA (bases 220-373)
Source: RNAcentral
AAGUCGUAACAAGGUUUCCGUAGGUGAACCUGCGGAAGGAUCAUUACAGUAGUCACCCGGGUUGCCGCAAGGCCUCCCGGGUAACCUACCACCCUUUGUUUAUUACACUUUGUUGCUUUGGCAGGCCUGCCCUCGGGCUGCUGGCUCCGGCCGGCGAGCGUCUGCCAGAGGACCUAAACUCUGUUUGUCUAUACUGUCUGAGUACUAUAUAAUAGUUAAAACUUUCAACAACGGAUCCCUUGGUUCUGGCAUCGAUGAAGAACGCAGCGAAAUGCGAUAAGUAAUGUGAAUUGCAGAAUUCAGUGAAUCAUCGAAUCUUUGAACGCACAUUGCGCCCCCUGGUAUUCCGGGGGGCAUGCCUGUCCGAGCGUCAUUACAACCCUCAAGCUCAGCUUGGUGUUGGGCCCCGCCGCCCCGGCGGGCCCUAAAGUCAGUGGCGGUGCCGUCCGGCUCCGAGCGUAGUAAUUCUUCUCGCUCUGGAGGCCCGGUCGUGUGCUCGCCAGCAACCCCCAAUUUUUUUCAGGUUGACCUCGGAUCAGGUAGGGAUACCCGCUGAACUUAA